RNAcentral lists this ribosomal RNA (497 nucleotides) under uncultured bacterium. RNAcentral's name for it is "partial 16S ribosomal RNA". It matches the Rfam family "Bacterial small subunit ribosomal RNA", at positions 28 to 507 of the family's 1533-position model. The record is from RNAcentral.
GAUGAACGCUGGCGGCGUGCCUAAUACAUGCAAGUCGAGCGAACAGACGAGGAGCUUGCUCCUCUGACGUUAGCGGCGGACGGGUGAGUAACACGUGGCUAACCUACCUAUAAGACUGGGAUAACUUCGGGAAACCGGAGCUAAUACCGGAUAAUAUAUUGAACCGCAUGGUUCAAUAGUGAAAGACGGUUUUGCUGUCACUUAUAGAUGGAUCCGCGCCGCAUUAGCUAGUUGGUAAGGUAACGGCUUACCAAGGCGACGAUGCGUAGCCGACCUGAGAGGGUGAUCGGCCACACUGGAACUGAGACACGGUCCAGACUCCUACGGGAGGCAGCAGUAGGGAAUCUUCCGCAAUGGGCGAAAGCCUGACGGAGCAACGCCGCGUGAGUGAUGAAGGUCUUCGGAUCGUAAAACUCUGUUAUUAGGGAAGAACAAAUGUGUAAGUAACUAUGCACGUCUUGACGGUACCUAAUCAGAAAGCCACGGCUAACUACGUG